RNAcentral lists this ribosomal RNA (605 nucleotides) under uncultured bacterium. RNAcentral's name for it is "bacterial SSU rRNA". It matches the Rfam family "Bacterial small subunit ribosomal RNA", at positions 331 to 929 of the family's 1533-position model. The record is from RNAcentral.
CCAGACUCCUACGGGAGGCAGCAGUAGGGAAUCUUCCGCAAUGGGCGAAAGCCUGACGGAGCAACGCCGCGUGAGUGAAGAAGGAUUUCGGUUCGUAAAGCUCUGUUGUUAGGGAAGAAUGAUUGUGUAGUAACUAUACACAGUAGAGACGGUACCUAACCAGAAAGCCACGGCUAACUACGUGCCAGCAGCCGCGGUAAUACGUAGGUGGCAAGCGUUAUCCGGAAUUAUUGAGCGUAAAGCGCGCGCAGGUGGUUUAAUAAGUCUGAUGUGAAAGCCCACGGCUCAACCGUGGAGGGUCAUUGGAAACUGUUAAACUUGAGUGCAGGAGAGAAAAGUGGAAUUCCUAGUGUAGCGGUGAAAUGCGUAGAGAUUAGGAGGAACACCAGUGGCGAAGGCGGCUUUUUGGCCUGUAACUGACACUGAGGCGCGAAAGCGUGGGGAGCAAACAGGAUUAGAUACCCUGGUAGUCCACGCCGUAAACGAUGAGUGCUAAGUGUUGGUCUCAUAAGAGAUCAGUGCUGCAGCUAACGCAUUAAGCACUCCGCCUGGGGAGUACGACCGCAAGGUUGACACUCAAAGGAAUUGACGGGGGCCCGCACAAG